Pteropus alecto (black flying fox) is the source of this 553-nucleotide long non-coding RNA. RefSeq lists it as uncharacterized. NCBI's taxonomy places the organism in Eukaryota, Metazoa, Chordata, Mammalia, Chiroptera, Pteropodidae. The record is from RefSeq and is a predicted model, not a curated record. The transcript has 3 exons.
UCAGACCAUGUUAUCAGGAAGCCCAGGCCAUGUGGAGAGGACACAAGUGCAUGGAUACUCUGGACAACAGCCCUGGCUAACACUCAGCAGUACCUAACUUCAACCUCCAUGGGACCCUGAGCCAGAAUCAACCAACCAAGCCACAACCUAAUCCACAGAAACUUUUCGCAGGGUGACCACUGCAGAUCCCACUGUGCACCCCAAGCUGCUCCCUCCUGUUUUGCCGAGUCAUCACAGACAUUAAAAAAGAGCCAAUAAUGGAACAUACUUAGGGUCACGCGCUCAUUCUCUACUCAUCCCUAACUGCGACAGAAGACUUGGUAGCAUUAAACUGGCUUGACACAAACAUCUCCAAAUCACACUGUCAAGUCAUGGACCAUGAGUCAACAGGAUUGGAGGAGGUGUGCCGAAGACAGACACGAUUUCAGCUAAUCACAGUACAUCUGAGGACAUUUGCCUUUUGUAAGUCUUCUACCCCUGACAAAAUUAAUAUUGCUUGUGAUGAUUUGUACUGUUUAGCAAAGUCCUCUGAUUAUCUUCCAUGUGGUUGAUA